This 33785-nucleotide long non-coding RNA is filed under the name Cucumis sativus (cucumber). Its description in RNAcentral is "long non-coding RNA (CSAT_LNC002496)". The record is from RNAcentral. Lineage: Eukaryota; Viridiplantae; Streptophyta; Magnoliopsida; Cucurbitales; Cucurbitaceae.
UUUGUUUGUUGUACUCAAUCUCUGCUAUAACUAUGCAUUUUAAUGAACAGCUCUAAUAGCAAAAGCUUGCUGGUUUGGUAGAUACCAGUGGUCCAAUAAAUGCCGAAAUACCUGUGUCUAUGCUUGCUUGUGUUCUUGAACACAUUAAUUGGCGAUAAAUGACAUUAUAAUGGUAUGGAUUCAUACUGGACGAAGAAUAAUGAACUGAGUAUAUUAAUUUAUAAGAAGCGUGCAAUUCAUGUAGGAUCAGACUUGUCUUUGUCUUCAUUUAGAUGCUGCUAUAUAAAGGUCAUAUUUGCAGUUUUCAUCACCUCCUUAAGUUAUUUUGCUCUUUUUGUUUUCUCAAGUUUUAUUGGCGUAACAUAUGAUGAAGGCAGAACCAUUAUUUAUCUUCUGUUAAAAUCUAAUAUGUAGACUGUUGCAUGGGGCGCAAAUUAGGCUGACCUGCAAAUUGACCAUAAUUGUUUGCAAGUGCUCAAACAUCUCUCGAGAUCUUUACACUUGUUGAAUCUAUUCUGUUGCAUUAUUAUCAACAUUAUCACAAUAGGUAUUAUACUAACCUGCAACUCUUUGCAGGCCAAAGCAGGAGCUGGUUCAGCAACUCUCUCAAUGGUUAGUUUCUUUUCACCCCUUACCAUCACUAUCACAAUAGCUUAUUAUAUUGUUUGGUUACCAUAAAUCUAAAAAUUGAAAGAACUUGACUAAUGUAUGUUAGAAAUGCGCAGGCAUAUGCUGCCGUUAAGUUUGCAGAUGCAUGCCUCAGGGGCUUAAGAGGAGAUGCUGGUGUUGUUGAAUGCGCGUUCGUGUCUUCUCAGGUAGGUAUCUUUUAUCCAAGUUAUCGUCUUUUUCCCUUUCAGCAAUUAGAAUAAUGUUCAUCUUAUAUUUUUGUCUUGUACAGGUGACCGAACUUCCAUUCUUUGCAACAAAAGUACGACUUGGCCGCAAUGGUAUAGAUGAAGUAUACUCCCUUGGCCCGCUAAAUGAGUACGAGAGGUAUGCAAUUGCCAGUUUUGAUAAUUUAAUAUAAGAAUCGAAUAUGAAUACUCAUUCAAACUAGUGAUGAGCUUAAUGUGAACUAAACACAUUGUCGCCUGAGAUUUAAUCUGAUUGUGGAACAUUGAAUUUGAAAGAGUUGGGAUAUUUGAUUGACAGGAUUGGAUUGGAGAAAGCAAAGAAAGAGUUGGCAGGAAGCAUUGAGAAAGGAGUUUCCUUCAUCAGAGGCUGAAGAGAUGCCAAUUACAAUUAGUUUUAAUAGAAACAUUCUGUCUCUUAUAGAUUACUUGUCCCAUAUGUUCUCCUAGAGAUUGAAGUUGAAACCACACUUCUUUUUAUACUAAUAAAACUAUAUCGCCAUCAUGUCGAUAUUUAAUGCACAACCAAAAUGGUUGGAUUAGUCGUCGUUAGAGCAUCUUUUAUGCAAUUGACGAUUUUUCAUAUUUAUAUUUAAUUUUGAUUAAAUGCAUUUUGGUACUUUGUUAUUUUUCGAUAGAUCUCAUUUUUGUUCCCUACUACUGUAAGUUUUUGUCACUCUGGAAAUAAAAUUAGAAUAACUCUCGUUAAUUAAAGUUUAAAUGUUUAAAGUCAUGCGUUUUAAGUACUUGAAAAGUCCGCUCUAGUGUUUAUAAACGGGCACUGAUUCACAGUUGUGGUAAUGAAUAGACAUCAACAAGCGAUGAGACAAGGGAAGAGGUGUUACAUUUAAAAGGAAAAAGAAUAUUUAGAACUAAUAUUUUUGGCAAUUCUUUUUUAAAAGAAAUGUAUUGUGAAUGUAUACAAUUUAAAUGAAGUGUUUUUUUAUUUGUUUUAUUGGUUUUUCUUUUCAAUGAUGAGAGGUGAAGAAAUUAUUAGCAAAGUGAAGAGGAGUGCUCCUUGUUUGCAAUCAUGUCUUGCCUUCUAAUGCUUUUGCUCAUCACUUUGACAUAACAACCAACCAGACAUUUGCACAACAUGUAUGAAUAUGCAUCUUUAAUUCACUUUUUCUUUGAAAAUUAACCUUAGCUUGAGUAAUGUUCAAUUUAGAUGUUUCUUCUUUAUCAUUAUCUGAUAUGAUGCUUGGAGGCCCAUUUAGUGGAAUACUAAUAAUACUCCCCACAUUCCUCCGCAAAUUCAUGAUUAAUUUCAAAGUCAACAGUUAAUUAACACUAAUUCAGAGUAUUAAACAGGUGUUACAUUCUUUAAGCUUCAACUUAUGAUUUCUUGUUCAUAGAAUAAAAUUUAUUUAAUCAUGUGAUGGGAGAUGGUUGUAAUUUUGCAUAGUAUCAGUACAUGUACGUCUCACAGUAGCAGAACAAACCCCAAAAACUAGACACAAAACACCCAGCAAAGUGCAUACUCCUAAGUCCUAAAACAAAUCAUCACCACAUGCUUCAUAAGACAAGGCAGUCUGUGAACUAAUAAUGCUUCCUUUUUGUUUCAUCAUGAGACUCCAAAACAGUAACUUCUCGACUAAGAUCAUGGUUCACGUAUCUCUAUUCUCCUUCGAGAAUGAUGGUUGCUGAUGCUCGGUUAAGAUCCGGACAACUUCCCGCAUCGUGGGACGCUUUGGAGCCUCUUCUUCAGUGCACAGCAUGGCGACAUUGAGCACGUGGAUUACUUCGUCGAGGGGGACUGAGGAGAGUCUUUGAUCGACGAUUUUAUGUAUUUCUUCCUUUUUUGUGUCUGUCAUGUUUCUAACCCAUUGAACUAAGUCGACACUGUUGCUUAGUUCUAUAUCUGGAUUCCUACCGCUAACAAGUUCCAAGAGAACGACACCGAAACUAUAUACAUCCCAUUUCUCGUCGGCAUUCUGUGUGUAGGUGUGUUCUGCAAGAAUAUCACAUUCUUUAGUUUCUAUUAGAAGUAUUCAAAGUAUGAGCAAUUCAGACAUUCUUCAAGAGAGAUCCAAAUAUGGAAAGUUAAUACUACCUACCAAGCUUCUCAAGGAUUGUCCAAGAUCAUAUGCUAUAAAAACGUUCCGAUUCUAAAUGAAUAUUAAUUAGCUCUGGCGACUGUCAUACCUGGCUCAGUAGCUGAAAUAUCCGAUGCCCCUGAAUCUUGUAAGAACUUCGCAAGCCCGGAAUUAGCAAUCUGAGCAUCAAAGUUGGUGUCAAGCAUAAUGUUGUUCGACUUCACAUUUCGAUGAACAAUGGGCGGUGAGCAAUGGUGGUGAAGAUAGCAAAGUCCAUUCGCAGUUCCAAUGGCUAUCUUGUACCUUGUCUCCCAGAGCAAGUGACCUCCUUUCUUGCCAUGAAGAACCUCAUAGAGACUCCCAUUAGGCAUGUACUCAAAUACCAAAAGAUUAGUUUCAUGGUUUGAACAGAGACCCAAUAAUCUAACGAUGUGACGGUGUCGAAUCCUCCCAAGAGCUUGUAUCUCAGCAUCGAACUUGUUGUCACGAGUACACCCAUUGCUCGUCUUUGGAAGCCUUUUCACAGUGAUCUGAUCACCACUUGGCAUCACUCCUGUAUAUACUGUGCCAUAACCUCCCUUUGCAAUAAGAUUUUCCUUUUUAAGGCAUUCCAAUAUCUCAUCAACCGAGAAGCCAAGCCGUUGGAAGGCUGUUAAUCUCCAUCCUCUAGACUCCCUUGCUCUCUUGAACCACCCAACUUUGAAGAUCAAUCCAACUGUCACUGCAACUAAGCAAAAGAAAAACCCAAAAGCUAGCAGGAGCCUGAGAGGAGUUGAGAGAGAUCCUUUCGUAUGUUCUUGUUGAUUGCUUGCAAGAAGCCCAUCUUUGCAAGGCCCCAAAUAUGGUCCACAGAGAUAAGGAUUGCCUAAAAAUGAUGUGUAAUUGAAGUACCCAAAUUGCCCAGUUCCCAGAACCAAACCAGAGAGAUUGUUAUAUGAAAAAUCAACAGAGGUUAGGCUCUGCAUAUUAACUAUGGAAGCAGGAAUAGGCCCAACUAAGUGGUUUCUUGAGAGAUUCAUAUAAUUCAAUAAUUUCAUGUUGGUAAUAUGGUUAGGAAUUUCACCAGAAAGCUCAUUUCCACUAAGAUCAAGAAAUAUCAAGUGUUUACACUCACUUAUCUCCGGCACAAUUGAACCAGAGAACUUAUUCUGGCUGAAAUUUAUUCGAGAUAGUUGCUGUAAUCUCCCAAUAUUUGAAGGAAUCUGACCAGAAAACUUAUUCCGAUCAAGAAGAAGCUUCUGGACAGCCACAAGGCUGCCUAUGGUUGGUGGCAAGGAUCCAGAGAGCAUAUUAUUCGAUAGACUUAUCUGAAGAAGAUUAACUGAGACUGAAUUGAUAAUCGGAAGUUCGCCGGAGAGAAAAUUGUCAUGCAAAUCAAUUUGAGUGAUAUUUGGCAAACCCAAAAGCCUCCUUGGAAUUGAUCCAUUAAGAGCGUUGCCCCACAGAAGUAUACGUUUAAGUGAAAGACAGUUCCCCAACGAUUCUGGAAUCAAACCAGACAAGGAAUUGUCCAUGGCGAUCAAAACUUCAAGCUUAUUCCCAUGGCAGAUUUCAGGAGGAAUCGUACCUGUCAGGUGGUUGAAAGCAAGGUCGAGAGUCCGAAGCAUUCCAUUCUUCCCCAAAUUUCGAGGGAUGGAACCAGUGAAAUUGUUGUUCCAUAAUUGCAAUAUUUCCAGCUUAGGGAGGUCGGCCAUGAACUCCGGUAUCUCUCCGGAGAGCUUGUUGUCGAAAAGUUGCAAUAGCCUCAAGUUCUUAAACACUGCAAAAGAGAUGGGUAUUUCACCAACAAGCAUAUUGCAUGAUAUAUCCAACUCUUCUAUGCUCUUCAAUCCUCCAAGCUCCAUCAACGAACCAGACAGAGCAUUUUGUUGAAGGUACAGUUCAGUGAGCUUCUGUAACUUUCCGAGCUCCCGUGGAAACUUUCCACUCAACCCACAGCUCGCGGCAUCCAACCGAACUAACUCCGACAAAUUCCCUAUCGUCGCCGGUAUUCCACCAACAAAUGUGUUGUAGUAACCAAUGAAAAGCUCCCGAAGCUUCGUCAAGUUUCCGAUAGCCGGCGGUAUUGGACCUUCGAGGUCAUUGCCGUGAAUCGCCAGAAACUCCAAGAACUGCAACCGCCCAACCUCCGGAGGAAUCCGACCGGUAAAGAAAUUACCCCCAAGAUGCAAAUAGCGGAGGUUGGGCAUUUCAGUGACCACUCUGGGGAAAUCACCGGUCAGAUUAUUAUUAUAAACAUCAAGAACCUGCAAGUUCUUGAGCCGCGAAAACUCGCUAGGAAUGGACCCAUUAAGGACGUUACUAGAGAGAUUAAGAAGCUGGAGAGACGAAAGGGAGGCAAUCUCUGGUGGGAUACCGCCGAAAAUUUUGUUGAGGCCGAAGGAAACAUUAGUGAGAAAGCGAAGAGAGGAAAUGUGAGGGGAAAUGGUGGCGGUGAGGUCAAGGGAAGAGAGGUCUAAGGCAACGACGUGGCGGCGGGAGUCGCAUGUGACACCGAGCCAGGAACAGUGGGCGUGAACGGCGGCAGGGUUCCAGGAGGAGAGAGAAGAAUGAGGGUCGUCAGAGAUGGAGGAUUUGAGAGAGAGAAGAGCUUGGGAUUCGGGAAGGAAAGCAGAGAAAGAAGGGGAAAAGUGAAAAUGGAGAAUCAGAAAAACAAGAAGAAGAAGCCAUAUUUGUUUGCAUAUAAUAUUUGAAGGUUGAAUAUUGGUGACACUGAUCAUUUCUUCUUCUUCUUCUACUUCUGCUUCUUCUUCUUCUUCUUCUUCUUCUUCUUCUUCUUCUUCUUCUUCUUUUUGAAUUCUGAUUUUCAGAGGAAGGAGAGGGAACUUAAAGACAAAACUACACUCACUCACAAUUCCCGUUUUCAAUAUUUAUAUUACUCAAAAUAUAUAUAUAAAAAAAAAGGUGAAUUUAGUACAUGAAAAUUAAAAUAUUUUAGGGUAUUGUAUUCUUAGAAGGUGGAAAUUGGAAUCUUAUCCUAUCAAAAUCAUUUCAUAUCACUUUGCUUCAAUAUACUCUUAACCAAUAACCUCAACUUUAAAAUAAGCAACCAAUCAAUAAUCCUUUACUUUUCUUAUUUCCUUUUUCUAAGUCUUCACGUUCCAAUUCUAUUCACUUUUUAAUACAAUUUAAACUCUAUUGUUUCUGAGAUCAAGUGAGACACACAGAAAUAUUAUCAAGUAUAAUUCCUUACUGUUCACAGAAAGAUUAUAAACUAUAUAUUUACUGUUAUUGUGUUAUCGUUCUAUUAGAGUUGCCUCUAACACAUAGUAAUAAUAGUAAUAAUAGUAAAUUUGAAAAAGAUCCAUGAUUCUAUGUAAUUGUAUUGGAACUUAAAUUGGCAUUCACAUCUGCUUAAAAGGAAAUUAAGAUAAGGAGUAGAUUGAAUUAGUAAAUAAAGUGAGUUGACAUCUAUUUCUUUAUCAUGCGUGUUUGGGAGAUUAACAUGAAAAAAAAGGUACAUAUAGGAACUUAAAAACAACAAAACACAAAUAUAUAUCAAUCGGUUCACUGUUAAUUCCUGCUUGUAAAAAACUUUAAAAAAAAAAGAUAUUUCACAUUUAAUUUCAAUUUAGUUUAUUAUGGUUUAGGAAAAUUAAAUAUAUAUUUUAGUUGAAAAUAAAAAGCAAAUAAAAUAUACUUUUUUAAAAGAACAAAAGUUGAAGUUUAACAUUUGAGUGGAUUACUUGAAAUCAAAAUAAAUGCAUUUUAGAAUGUAAUCAACUAAUUUGACAAAUUUUGAUAUAUUUGCAAAUUUUUUUAAAUUGUGUUAUAUAUUUAAUUAAUUUGAAUUUAAUUGUUAAAUUUGCAACAAUUCAUUUUUCUUUUUCUUUUUCUAAAAAACAAUAAAAAAAAGCAAAUAAACAGGAAGCAUACUCCAAAAUCAAAACUUAACCUUAAAAGAAUAAAAAUUAAAGGAUGAAUAUGAAACACGUUAAAAGAUUGUUUUUAAAAUCGUCACAAAAGUUGGAAUUUAAAUUAUGUUGUUUAUUUAAGAACAAAGGACAUUUAUAGGGUUUGAGUUCGUUUGAACUGAUUUGAGAGGAAAAAAAAUUUAAACUAUUGUGAAAAUUAUUUAAAAUACAUUUGAAAGACUAUUUUAAAUAAUUAACAAAUUCUCUAAUUUUUUCUAAAAGGAUAUAUAUUUUUUUAAUUAUAGAAAAUGUAUUUCAAUAAAUAUUUUAGUUUAUUAAGUUAGAUUUGAAAAUGACUUAUAAAAUAAUAAUGAUGAUAAAUUAAAAAAAGAAGAACACAAUUAGACAUAAUAACUUUUAAGCUGACCUAUGGAGUAAUUUUGUUCAGAAAUAAAUAGAUGGGCAGAAUUUAAAGUAACAAAAUAAAGAAAAGGAAAUGACAAAAGGAGACAAAGAAAAAGUAAAAACAAAAAGAAAGAAAAUAUGGAAAUAACGUAAGAGAUAAAAGAGAGGGUAAAAACAAGAAACUUUCAUUACUCAAUAGUGAUAGAAUAUAUUUCCAACAAAAAUAAACUAAUCCAAAAUUCUCACAAAACGCCUCAAUUAUUGUAUUUAUAGAUAGACAUUAGAAGUUAUCUUGAAUUCAAUUUUCGUGUUCGUCUACUUUUUUCGAACGAUCAAUAAAAUAUGGUAAAAAUGACGUUUUUUCUUACAACAAAGAAGUUAUAACUACAUCCAAUAUACAAAAUGGUUUCUUCCAAAUCUCUCCUUCCUUUUUUUUUUUUUUAUUCUCCUCCUUCUCACAUAUUCACUAAAUGGAGGGAUGAGGUUAAGAGAGUAUCAAAAAAGAAAAAUAUAAAAUAAGCAAUUGAAAAGUGGAAAAAUGUUAAGCCACAAUUUGUAUUUUGCGACAAAUUAUUUUGGUAUUAUGUGAUUUAAUUGAGUGGUACAAAUAUAGCUUUAGUUUAUAAUGCAUCUGAAAAAUGGAAGAAAAAGACUUGACAAGACCCUUUUAGCAAAAACUUACUACAAUUAUUUAGUACCUUAAUUCAAUGAUUUUGCCAUAUCUUACUAAAAUACAUGAAUAUGUAAUAGAAACUUAUUUGUUGCUUACAAAGACUCAAAGUCAAAUUCUUUCCUUUAUUGAUGUUGUUAGCACUUCUCAAAGGCCCAUUGGACUCAACAGCCUUAGCCUUUCACCCCAAGCCAUCAUCAAACUCAGGUUAUAAUAAUUUGAAGUAUAUGGCUUUUUUUACAACAUAAGUGCAUCUUAUAUACGUACGUAUAGAGAAAAAAAAAAAAAAUCAAUUGUUCACAACUGUUUCACUACAUUAUCAUGGAGCAACAAUUUUAAUUAUAUGGAACCAUUAUUAUUAGUACAUUGCUUUAAUUUUACUUGCAUUACAUCUACAUAAGAAAAUGGAAAGUUGAAGUUGAAUAAAUGACAAAAUAGUAUACUAUAUAAUAACUUCAUAAUUGUAUGUAAAUAAAUUAUGAGAAAAAUGUAAAUCUUUUUUUUUUUUUUUUUUUGACGGAAGAGAAAACAUGUUAAGUAAAUUACGUUGUCCAGCUCAACUCCCAUACCCACAAUGGGCUCCCUUUUCUUUUCCUAUUGGGCUUUAGUUUUCUCAAGGUUCAAAUCUCAACAUCAGGUUGAAUCAACGGCCCGUCAAAUUAAGCCCACUUCCAACAAGGAGACCAAAAGUAUUCAUCCUUCGAUAUAAAUAUACUAAUAAAUUGACCAAUUUAAUUAUUAAAAUAUAAAUAUAAAUUAAAAAACCAUUAACACAAAAAAAAAAAAAGGUAAAUUGAAAUGAUAGUGUUGACCAAUUAAUCUAGUUUUAUUUAAAAGUAAUUAUUGCUUAGUAUGAAAUAAAUGUUAGUCAAAGAAGUGAUAUAGUAGGUAGGCGAAGUAGCAUGAGUUGUUCAACAUUUUUCAAGACAACUAUUUUUAUUACAAGAGCUAAGAGUGUAGCUCGUUUAAAUCAUAAUAUUUAAUUUUGCAACUUCAAUGUUUUAAUUUUUUACCCAAUCAACUAUGAAAUAAAAUUUUUAUUUUACAUUUUAUAAAAUUAUUAAAUUCAUUGCCAUCAUUCUAUUUAACGUUUUUAUAUAUAUAUAUAUAUAUAUAAAAUGGAAGUUGUUACAUUUUGCAAGACAAUUAAAUAAGAUAGAGAAUAUGAAUUUAUGAGCAAUACUUUAAAUGAACUAUAUUGUGUCAGUUGACUUAGUAUUAAAUGCAAAGCGCAUAACGUGCUAAGAAAGGAGAUAUAGAAUAGACAUUUUUAAUUGUAGCAAGAUAAGAAAAACAAAUGAAUUAAAAGAAAGGGAAAACAAAAAAAAUAAAAGUCCGAAGAGAAAUGAUGAACAUAAUUAAAGGAAAAUAGUUGCCAUUUGUUAAUGUUUCCAAUCAUGUCUUAAGCUCCCCUUUCAUCCAUCAAAUUCAAUCAUGCUGCUGCUGCAUACACACAUGCAUGUAUUAUAAAUCAUUCCUCUCUUUUCUUUUCUUUUCUUUUCUUUGAGGGAUUUAAUUAUUUGAUUUAUAUUUCUCCUUAUGAUUUAGACCAGUGGGCCCCAUUUGUUACAAUCUCCAUGAUAUCUGCUCUCAUUAUAUACUUUAUACAUUAUGGUAUUUAAUUCAUCUAAAACUUUAUAUAUGCUUUAUUUUAUUUUAAUUGCUAUGUCAAUGUGUAUUGAUGCUGUUAAGUCAAAUUUAGAGGGAAAAGGAAAAGGUUAUUUCAAGGUUCAAUAAUUAUCCUUUCUUCUUUUUUCAAAAGGGACAGCAUAUAAUGAAGACCCAUUUCUCUCUUCCAUUUGCCUUUUCAUCCCUUUCUUCAUAACUUUUAUUCUUCUUCUUUUUCUCCUUUUAAUUACUUGUUAAUGAAAGAUAGGACUCUAUCAUUUAACUGAAAAAAAAAAACCUAAACUAUAAGUUUGUAGAUAAAACCGUAUUAAACUCAAAGUCCAUUAGUAUUUAAGAGGAAUUAUUAUGGAUAAAUUUAUAAAUUUUAGAUAAUCUUUAUUUUCUAAAAUACAUUUUUAGUUUCUAAUAGGAUACCAAAUUUUACUAUUUUAGAUUUAAUAGUUCGAUAAGCGGACUUUUGGAAUCUUAAAUCAAACUUCACGAGGGAAACAAAAGGCAACACAUUUUUUGUUCACAAACCAUUUUAAAAAGUGAAUUUCGCCAUAUGAGAAAAUUAUAGGAAAAAGAAACAUUAUAUUAAAAAAAAAAGAUGAAAAAAAAAAGGGGAUAAGAUCAACAUCAAUCAAUAUUAAAUAGUGUACGUAAAUCAAAUAAUUAAUAUGAUAAGUGUUUAAUAGAGAAUAUUGUUAGCUAAAUUAAAUGAAUUUAGUCCUUUUUUGUUGUUGUUGUUGGAAAUAAAAAUGUGAGUUGAUCUGUGUCUUUCACUUUCAUGUUUUGAUUGCCCAUUCUGAUUUGAUAAUAGUAUGAAACCAACAAAUAUUUCAUUUUCAAGAAAAUAUAUAUAUUCCUAUCCAUGUUUUUUUACUUUUGACUGAAAGAGCAAAAAAAAAAAGGAAAAAAUAUUGUAUUAUAAACCAUAUAAUAUGGAAUGAAUUGAUAAGCUUGAAUGAAUAACAUAGUUGAAAGAGCAUCCUAUGACAAAUUAAAUAUUCCAUAUCCAUUCUUUUCAGCAGAUUAACCCAAUUAGCUUAACCUUACCCUAUACAAAUAUACUAUUUAUUUAUUUUUAUUACUUUUUAAAAAUAUUUUUCAAAUACUAUGAAAAUCUCAAAAGGAAAAAAAAAAAGCAUUUCAAAUUCUAUGUAGUACUUCUCAAAAUCUCCAUAACAUGUAAGGAAUUUCAAUAAUAUAUGUUGAGAUCAUGCCAUUAUUUUGUGAAUCUUAAAAAAGAAAAACUAAGAUCUCCAAAUGAGCAAGUGACAUGCAAAGAUUUGAUCAAAACAAACAUAGGAUACUUUUUUUUUUAUCAAUAAUAUAUGUUUAAUUAGUCAAGUAUUUAUAUUAUAAUUAAUUACUUCUUCCUCUCUAAUGAUUGGAUAACAAUCAAUAUCUUGUUCUGAUGUUUUGUUUAGGAUAAGCUAGUGUUAAUAAUGUUUUUUAUAGUUACCAAAAUAAAGGUAAUUUAAUUGUUAUAGGUUUAUGUUAGUAAGUAAGUAUGUGAGGCAGGCAGUUGAAAUCACUUGUAACUCUAUUGUAAGGUAAUAUUAUAUAAAGUUGGAGUCCAAGAAUUGAUAUCCAUUUUAGGGGUUUGGGCAUUAAAUGUUAGGGCAUUGAAAUAAUGAGAUGGCAACGUGACACCUCGCACCCAUGUGAGUUUUGCUUCGUAUUCAACAAUCACUUCAAUUAUUCUAAAAACAAAACCAAAAUUUUCCCUUUUAAUUUUUUUUAUUGCUAUUUUCGAGGCCAUCAAAACCAAAUCAAAGCAAAACAAUCAAUUUUUAAAAAUGCAUAAAACUUUGUUUCUCUUUCCCAAAAUAAAUAAUAAUAAAUUUGCUUUAUGCCAUUUCUGGAAAAAUAACAAAUAAAUGAGGAUAACAAUAGUAAGUACUCUGUGAACUCAACUUAGAGAUUAAAGGAAGAAAAAAACUUUUAAAUCUUAUUUUAAUUCAUAAAUAUUUUAUUUUACUUUAAUUUCUAAAUCUUAAAAAACGUUCAUUAGUCGAUAAACUUUCAAAUUUUAAUUUUAAAUUAGUUGUUAAAUAAUCACUUUGCUUUCAAUAUUUUGACCGAAUACAAUUUUAUUUGUAUACAAAUUUUUUAUGCCUUUAGUUCAGGAUAUUUAGUGAUUCUUUAAGUUUUUUUCUCUUUCCUCUCAUUUUUGUUAGAGGAUCGUUGGGAAUUAUUGUGAAAAUAUUUAUCAAUUUAUUUUGUAUAUAUUUGUGCUUAUAUUUAUUUUACUUUAUCAUGGAUUUUAACAACGACUUCUAUUCUAAUUUAUUUAUUUUAUUUUAUUUAAUCUUCUUCCAAUAAAUUUGCUUCAAAAAUCCAAUUUGAAAAAAGAAAAUAGUAAAGAGAUGUGAGAGAUUUGAAUUUUGGGAAAAACAAAUUUAGUUUUUAGGUUUAUUUGAUAAACGUGUUUUUAUGUUUUUAUGUUGACAUAAAUAAUAAAUUAACAAACUUUAUUGGUUAUUUAUCCAUAUAAAUAAUAUAAUAAAUUUAAACCAUAAUAAUUAGAAUAUAAAAAAUCACAUUAUGAUUGUCCUGAAAAGUAAAUAUUUAAGUUUUUGGAGAGUAAAACAUACAUUUUUUAAAAAUUAAAAAUCACUAUAUAACAAGAUACAAAAUGUACCAAAAUAGAAUAAAAAAAAAGAUUGUUUGAAGAAAUGAUAUUAUAAAAGAGAGAAGAUUUUGUUGGGUAUUGGGCAUAUGAUAACAAUAAUGGCAGGAUUUUGAACCAUAUUGAUGGGUGUUUUUGUUUGAAUUGUGUCCAAAAGUUGUUUGUCAUUUUAAGGUCAUUUUCUUUCUUAAUAAUCUCAUAUAUCUUUUCCCUAACUUCAUUCAAAACUUGCUUUUGGAGAUUCUUAUUUCCUUAUUUUCUUAAUCAAGUGGGGGACUCCAAAUUUCAAAAACCAACCCAAUUUGAAUUUAAUACGAUUUUUCUUUUUUUUUUUUACUUAUUUACUACUUUUGGGUACAAUCCCUCAAUUUUCUAAGUUUGGUUUUGAUUGAUUGUGGUUUGUAGCUACCAAUUUUAAACGCAUAUAUCUCCUUGUGUAACAAAAUGAGCCUACAUUUUGAUCUCUUUUGAAAUUGAGUGUUAUGUUUUUGUAUAUUACUGUGUUUGAAUGACACCCCUAAACCCUAGUAGAUGACUGCUUUUAGUUAAAAUUACAUUUCUUCAACUUUUGAAUGCUCCUAAGUUUAAUUAUCAUAUAACUUUUGUGUAAAUUACUUUUGCCUUUUCUUCAAUUACUCUUUGUCUUCAAGUCCGUAUUUCUUUUACUUAGGGUGAAUUAUGGAAAGAGCCGUGGAAGAUUCAAUCAACAUUUAUUUCUCACCCACGAAAACUCCCAUUAAUUUACCUUCAUUAUGACAUUAAAAUUAUUGUCUUCAAAUAUAACAAAAUGAACCAAAAUUAGACGGACAUUGUUUGUGUAGUUUUAUUAUUAAUCCAACUUUAAAAUGUAUAUUUUUAAAUUAAUCAAACUAUGCUUUCAUAACAAUAGUGAGGUAAUGACAUCCAGAAAUAUAACUUUAAGAAAAACGUUUUUUUUUUUUUUUAAAAAAAAAGAAGAAUACAUUUUUGUGUUUCCACUUAAUUUCUUGUUUGUUUUUCGAUUUAUUUUAGUUGGUGGGAAUUAGAGAGAGAAUGGUAACUUUUUUGCGUAAACCAAAGUUUUUGAAUAUGGCAGACAAGAUUCCUUUGUUCCUUUUAAUAAACCAAAGUUUUUGAGUUGCUAACAUUUACAUAUCUUUAUACGAAUUAGAAUUUAUUUAAAUGUUUUUCUUAUAAAUUAUAUACUUUUAGAAUUAAAUAUGAGAAUGCAUAGUAUUAAAUAAGAAGAGAAAAAGAGUUAGUAAUUAAGUAGCAAAAGAAUGAUUUGAAAGGGAAGGGAAGGGAAGGGAAGGAGUGGGUGUUUUUGUCAUUUUGUGUUUUAAAUUUUCUUUGUUUAAAGAAUUUUUGGUUGUACUUUAGAUUUGGUAAAUUUGCCCCCACAGAGUUACCAAAUUUCAAUUGGUAUCCCCACACCGCCACUUUCUCUCCUCUUCUCUCACACCCUUUCUUCAAUUAACCUUUAAUUCCCUCAUCUCAAUUAUUACAUCUUUAAUGACAAUUACCCAACCUCUAAUCUAAAUCCCAAACACAAUCACAUUAACUCAAUCCUAUCUCUAUAUCUUUUACCAACAUUGCCAUCAUUUCUAUUAUGUUAUAGGAACCAAAUUGGAACUUAUUUUAUUAUUUGAGGUGAUGAGUUAUUUGAUUGGGACGAAACAACUAAUAGAACUUACUUUGAUUUGAAAUGGUUGUGAAUUAUGUGCAAAAUCCUUGUUUUGUUUAUGAGAGAUGGAGUGUAAGAAAAGGAACAUGAAAGAGCAACAACUAAAACAAGACACCAUUCAAUUAAAUAAAUACUGAAAAGACAGUCACAAUAUCUUGGUCAUUUGGCAUUAUUUACAAUACAAUGGCAUGUGUGGCAAUCCUUAAAUGUAGGGUCCAAAUCCAGCUCAAACACACUCCUUUUUUCUUUCUUUCUUCCCUUCAUUUUCAAAUUUCCUGAACCAAAAGCAAACAAAAAAUACUGCCUUUUGCUUUUUAAUUUACUGUCCAAUAGAUUCAAAAGUGGUUCAGUCAGUCAGAAAAAGAAGAAGAUGGUGGAAAUGCUUCAACAUUAAAAAAGAACAAUCCCAUACGAAAAUACCCUCCCCCAAUAAACCCAACUGGUCAACUGUACAUGAAAGAAAAUAAAAUUAAAAAAAAGAAAAAGGAACUUUUGAACAUUAGUACCAUAACAUUAAAAAAAGCCAAACCUAAUCCCCCCAAAAGAAAAAUAAACGACAUCGCAGGUACAAGAGCCAAAGCUUUAAUUGUUUGGACCUUACGAAAGACAGUAGAUAGAGACACUACCAACCCCAACUAAGUUGUUCAAAUGCUAAGAAGAUCUGGUGGCGGUUGCUGUUGCUGAUGUUCUUUUUUGUUCUUGGUUCCUGUUGUUGGAAGGUCUAAAUCUGCAGCUGUUGGUGGUGGGGGUGGUGACGAGUUGGGGAGUGUUGAAUCUCCUCCUUGUUUUGAACUUGGUGGCUGUGGAAUCUCCGAUAGGAUUUGGAUCACUUCCCUCAUUGUUGGGCGCUCCACUGCCUGUUCCUCCACACAUAGCAUUGCAACGUAGAAGACGUGCAUCACUUCGUGGAGUGGCACGGAGGAGAGCCUUGGGUCAAGGAUUUUCACUACCUCUUCCUUGUUUGAGUCUGUCAUUUUUCUAACCCAUUGAACUAUGUCGACACCAUCCCCAAAUUCUCCAACGGGUUUUCUACCACUGACAAGUUCCAACAGGACAACUCCAAAGCUAUAUACGUCACUCUUCUCAUCAACUUUUAGUGUGUAGGCGUAUUCUGAAAGAAAUAAGCAUAAUCUCAAGAAUCAGAAUCAUGGAAUUUUAGCUUCUAGAAAAUCAACAAUUUUCACACCAUUGAUCAUCCAACUUUGGACUUGAAGUGGGAAGCAAUUCAUAAUAGAUUAAACAUUGAAGAGAACUUUGUCAAUUAGAAGUAGGAUGCAGUCAAAAACACUAUGAUUCGUAAAUGUACUUGCAAAGCUGAAAACCACUAAUGUUCUCACAACAUGGCACAAAACUAAGCAAUAUUCUUCACAAACUCUAGAUCAUACAUACGAGUCAAAGAAGAAUAAAGCUAAAACACAUCAAAACAAGAGUUAAGAUUCAAAAUUUAAGUCUUUGGAAGAAAAAUUCAAGGUUGGAAUCAUAUACCUGGGGCAAUAUAUCCAUAAGAACCAGCAAUGGCAGACAUGCACUCAGAAGUGCCAGAAUCCUGUAAGAACUUGGCGAGGCCAAAAUCCGCAACAUGAGCUUCAAAAUUAGUGUCAAGAAGUAUGUUGUUUGAUUUAACAUCUCGGUGAACAAUGAGUGGCGAACAAUCAUGGUGGAGAUAGCAAAGGCCUUUAGCAGCUUCAAUAGCAAUCUUAUACCUUGUAUCCCACUGAAGGUGACCUCCUUUUUUGCCAUGAAGAACUUCCCCUAAGCUCCCAUUAGGCAUAAACUCAUAAAUCAAAAGAUUAGUUUCAUGGUUUGAACAGAACCCCAAUAGUCUUACAAUAUGUCGAUGUCGAAUUCUCCCAAGAGUUUGUAUCUCAGCAUUGAAUCCAUGAUCAUGGGACGAUCCCCGGCUCAUCGCCGGCAGCCUUUUGACGGCGACCUGGUCACCACUUGACAUGGCCCCUUUAUAGACAAUUCCAGCCCCACCCUUUCCAAUAAUAUUAUCUUCUUUCAAGCAAUCAAGAACAUCAUCAACUGUGAAAUCUAAGCGUUGGAAGGAUGUUAAUUUCCAAGCCCGAGACUCACUGGCUCUCUUCAAAGAUCGAGCUUUGAUGAUGGCAGCAACUGCAAAUGCAAUGGAGCAAAGAAGCAGACCAAUUACAAGGAGGAGCUUGAGGGAAGCAGAGAGAGGGCCCUUCACAUGUUGUUGGUAAUUACUAUUGGCAACCCCAUCUUUGCAUGGUCCCAAAUAUGGGCCGCAGAGAUCAGGAUUUCCGAGAAACGAUGUGUAAUUGAAGUAACUGAAUUGCCCAGUUCCCGGAACUAAACCGGAGAGGUUGUUGUAUGAGAAAUCCACGGAGGUUAAACUCUGCAUGCUGGCUAUGGUAGCAGGGAUUCCACCGACUAAAUGGUUUUUUGAGAGAUUCAAGUAAUUCAAUAUCCUCAUACUGGUAAUCUCGUUUGGAAUUUCUCCUGAGAGCUGGUUUCGGCUGAGAUCGACGAAGGUUAGAAGCUUGCAUUGGCUAAUCUCCGGCGCGAUUGGACCCGAUAGCAUGUUGCUGCUGAAAUCUAUCUUCGAAAGUUGCUGUAACCGCCCGAUUUCAGGUGGGAUUUGACCGGAAAACUUGUUUCCGUCGAGGAGUAAUUUCUGGACGCCGGAGAAGUUGCCAAUUGUUGGCGGAAUCGACCCAGUGAGUCGGUUGUUGGAAAGACUAAUCUGGCCGAGAUUCAAUGAGAUUGAAUCGGUUAUUGGGAACUCGCCGGAGAGGAAAUUAUCUUGUAACUCCACCUGAGAAAGCUUGGGAAGACUUAGAAGCCCCUUUGGAAUGGAUCCAUUGAGAAAAUUUUCUCCCAUACGAAUACGAUUAAGGGAAACGCAUUUGCCUAGCGACUCUGGGAUUGGACCAAACAAGAAAUUGCUCAAUGCGAUCAGAAUUUGAAGCCGAUUACCAAAACACAUAUCGGGAGGAAGAGUUCCAGUCAGCUUAUUGGAAGAAAGGUCCAAUAUCUGAAGCAUUCCGUUCUUCCCCAAGUUCUGUGGAAUGGCUUCCGUGAAAUUAUUCUCCCAUAACUGCAACACCUCCAGCUUCGGCAAGUCGCCAAUAAAGGAAGGAAUCGCCCCAUGUAACUUGUUUCUAAACAGAUUCAACAGCGUCAAGUUCUUCAACUGGGCGAACGAGACGGGAAUCUCACCCACAAGCAUAUUGUUCGACAAAUCCAACGAUUUCAAACUGUUCAACUGUCCAAUCUCCGGUGUCAAUGGCCCAGAUAGAGCAUUAACUUGUAGAAACAAAGUAUCGAGAUUCUGCAGCUUUCCAAGCUCCGGAGGAAUCCGGCCAGACAGUCCACAGUUCGCAGCGUCCAACCGUACCAACUGUGACAAAUUCCCAAUCUCAGCUGGAAGACCGCCGUCGUAAGCGUUGAAGUAGCCAAUGUAAAGCUCACGAAGGUUCGUAAGGUUUCCGAGCUCCGGAGGUAUCGAACCGCUAAGCUCGUUACCCGAAACCGCCAAGUACUCCAAAGACUGCAUCCGACCCACUUCCGGCGGGAUCCGUCCGGCAAAGAAAUUUCCUCCCAAAUGCAAAUGACGGAGGCCCGACAUUUGAGUGACCACAAUGGGGAAAUCUCCAGUCAUAUUGUUGUUAUACAAAUCAAGAACGUGAAGAUUCUGCAGCUGCGAAAACCGUGAAGGGAAGGACCCAUCGAAAACAUUAUUAGACAAGUUAAGGAGGCGAAGUGAAGAGAUUGAAGAAAGCUCCGGCGGGAUGGGACCAGAAAACUCAUUGGCAGCGAGAGAAAGAUUAGUGAGAAAUCUUAAAAAAGCAACAUCAGGGGAGAGAGAACCAGAAAGACCGAGAGCAGUGAGAUCUAGGGCAGUGACAUGGCGACGAAGAUCGCAAGUGACCCCAAACCAAGUACAAUGACUGGUAGAAGCGUUCCAGGAAGCAAGUGAGGAUUUGGGGUCGCCGGUAAUGGAGGUUUUGAGGGAGAGAAGAGCUCGGUACUCAGAAACACGAGCAGAAAGAGAAUGAUGAAUGUGGAGUUGGAGGUGAAGAAGACAAAGGAGAAGAAGAAGAAGAAGACGCAUUUUGUUAGGGGGUUUGUUUGAUGGAAUGAGAAAUGAGGGAUUAUUAGGUUGGGAUGUUCUUCAAUGGCUGAAAUCUGCAAAUUUGCAGAGUUAGUUUGAAAUGAGGAGAAGAAGAGGAAGAAGAAGCGAGAGGUGAGUGAGAAGAACAAGUGGGUUUGGGGGGACCUCGAUAAAGUGAAUCAUGUCGCACAUUUUACAUUUCAUUUUUCUUUUCAAAAAUUUAAAGUUCUUCACUUUAUACAAUUCAAUAAUAUAAACUUCAUAUCUUAAUGUGUGUGUCUAUAUGUAUAUAUAUAUAUUAAUCUGUUAGUAGCUCCAUGGUCUAGAGAAAGCCAUUAAAUACCAUUUGUUAAAAAUUAUAUGUUAUUUUAUUGAAUAUGAUUAUAUGUUAUUUGAUCGAAUAUGAUAGGUCUGAAUAUUAGGAUAUGCCUACUCACUCACAUUCUUAUAAUAAUCAUAAUAAUAAUAACAAUUCAACACCAAAUUCUAAUUUCUUUUUAUUUAAACUCUCAUACAUUUUCGAAAGUAAAUUAGUGUAAAAUUUUUCAAUUCCUAUUGCAUUUCAUUUGAGUCAAAAGGGAAAAAUAAUUAGGGAAGGCUACAAACAUUAGGUAUGUUUUCUUUUAACUUAAAUUAAACCUUUUAAUGUUUAAUUCCACAAUUAAUGUUACUGUUUUUACUGUUUAUAUUAGGGUUAGACGUAGAGAGAAAAAAGUUGCUUAACUUUUGCAAUAAUUGGUGUAUUUGCAUUACAUAUUUUCCCAUCUCAUUCUUAAAUUUGGUGGAGUUGUUGAACAUCUUAUUAUUAUUGUUUUUAAUUGUUCUUUUUAGUGCAUAGUUGUUAAGCAUUAAAUAUUACUCUUAAUCAUUAAUACAUUUUCUACCUUAAUUUCCUUCUACCCCAUUUCUUCUAUGUUUCUUCUCCCCCCUCAUUAUUCUUCCCUUAAUUAUAUUUUCAUUAAUACACAUCCACACUUUAUUUUUUUUCAUUCAUCAAUUUAAUCACCCAAAAAAAAAAAAAAACCUUAUUAAUUGGUUGGCUAGAUCCGCUUGGUUUCAACGUGAGAAGAAGCCUACACACACUUUACAAGUUACGUACAUAUGAUUAUCAAAAGCAACUACAGUAAAUGGUCAUUUAAAAAUUUUACAAUUAUUAGUUUAGAAUUUUAAUUGAAACAACUAUAAAUGGAUAUUUGCCAUUUUCGUUAUUUGAUUUAUUUACGAGAAAAAUCACAUCAUCCAUCAAUUUUAAAAAAUUAAUAAGAUAUCAUAAUCUCAAUUAUUACCACUUUUUUGGGAUGGUCUAACAAACAAAGCAAUAGAGUGUAUGUACUCAAAAUAGGCAUGUUGAUUUUAAAACUUUAAAAACAUAUAGAUCCAAAAUUGAACAAAAAAAAUAAAUAAAAUUAAAAGGAUAAAGUUUGUAUGAAGAAAGAAAAAGUUAGGGAAGAAGGGUAAUUGUGUAAGUUAAGAAAAGAGAAAAAAAAAAGAAAAAAAAGAAGAGGAAAUGAUGAUAUGAUUAAAGAGUAUAGUGAGGGAAUGGUAGAAGAUAAUGGUAAAAAGAAAAAAGAGAGCAAUAUUGAUAAGACAUUGAACUGUUUGAAGGACUUUGGAAUAACUUUGCUUAUAUAUAUUUUUUCUUUUUUUUCUGCCACUCUCUGUUUUCUACUUUUUUAUGUCCAUACUCUAUAAUAAAAGCUGACUCUUUUUCUUUUUUUUUUCUAAAUUAUAUUUCUCUAAACUAAAUUUAUUUGGUGUAUGUUUCUUACCUCAAUGAUAGAGAUGUAUCAAAUUCCCAUAAUUCAUAACCAUAUUUUAAACAAAUUACGUAAUGUUAUGUAUUAGAUUGAUCAAGAGUAGUAAUAAAUGAAAGAAAGAUGAAUUAAGGAUUGUUUUUGAAAAGUAAAAUUGGAAUUUAAACAAAGGUUUAGGAGUUGAAGAGUAGAGAGAGUAAAAAGGGAAAGGGAAAAAAAAGUGAAGAGUGAUAAUAAGAAUUGAAAGAGGUAAUAAUAGUUGGUGGGUUUGUGUGUUAAUAGAGAUAAGGUUUGUUUGGUCAAACUCAAACCCAAAAGGCCAAACCUAUAUUUGUUGUAUAUUAUACUUACUGUCCCUCAAUUCUAUUUCUUUGUCUCCCACUACCCCCUAUACUCUUCAUUAUUGCAAAAUGGACCACCCCUCCUUUUCCCCAAUAUUCACUCUUUUACCCUUCUUAAGAGACCCUAAGCCUGUGAAUGUGAAUGUGAGUGUGUGUGUGAGGUAAGGCUGAUUCUUACGGGACAUCGCUAACCGACAAAAGCACCUCAGUUUGGUCCCCCGAUUAUUAUAUAAACUAAACCCAAAAACCAAUAUUCACCAAACUGUCCUUCUUCCUGGACAAAGAAAGUGACCCUAUACUCAUUUCUGUGAGAGAGGGUAAUUAUUGGAAACCAUCUAAUACAGUAAUCCAUCACUCAUCACAGCACAAAUUCAUUUUUCACUUAAAUCUAUUCUUAUCACACCCCAUAAUUUUCUCUAUUUGCAAAACAAAGUGACUUGGCAUGAUUUUAAAUUACCAAAUGCAUGUCUUUCUUUUAUAGUAGAUCUUAGUUUAUACGAAGAUUGUUGCAUGCUGUGGAUAAAACCCGCUGCCUCAAAAGCAAGAACGGUAAAACCUGCUCUCCAAUGUUCACACAGCACCCAGAUUUUGACGUGCACUUCUAGUAAAACGGAUUGGAAUCAAUUCAAAAAUAGGUUUCUUUUAGUAGUAAAAAGUUGUUGUUUUUCACUAUUAACCAAGCUGAAAGUAUAACACGCAUGUUUAGAGGGUUAUACUUUCACUACCACCACACUUUGGAAACAAGAGAUAUUGAAGUUUACUGGCAAGCAUUUAUAUAUAUCAAUCCUAACUCUUUCAAUAUGGAACCUCUUUUCUCUGGACACUACUUUUUUUUUUCUUUCUCUUUUACCAUGGGCAGAUAGCCCAAAGUCGUCAUUUUCAGCCGAGUAGUUGUAAUGUUUAGUCAAAAGUAAAGUAUAGUAAAAGAAAAAAAAGCAAAAAGAUGAUUGAUUGAGAUAUGUGGGAAUUGAGAAUCCAACAUCAUUGAAUAGGGGAAGCAAUGCCCUGUAAUGUUGGGUUUACAAUAUUACAGGAACAGAACGAUAGUAGCGUAACCAACGGGUCAUUUGGAUACCACGUCCUUAACCGUAAUUUCAAGACACACCUACAUUGAAUGACAUUCUGAUUAUUAUUUUUUCCAAGUGAAGUGGGAAGAAGCCUAAAGUAAUAAUAUUUGACCAAAUUUAUAGAGAGAGUGUGGUUAUUGGUUAUUUGGUGCCGAGUUGGACUCAGUUGAAGGAAGAGGGAAUUUAAUAAAAUAAAUGAGUCACUCAGAUGAUGUGGUCUUUCUUCUAUAUUCAGUUUUCAGAGUGCCAAUCCUAUCCAAGGAUGACACACGUUGAGGAAUUCAGUUGGUAGAUGUGUUUGAUGUUCUUUUUAACCUUUUGUAUUCAUUUGAAUUUUUAUAUUGAACACAGUAGCCAAUGUAAUUUUUUUAAAAAGUUAUUAGAGGACAGAAAUUUGGGAGCGUUUUUGAAAGUGUGGUAUGGAGUGACUGAAUAUGUGUAUUUGUAUAUUUGUAUAUUUUAAGGGAUGGCUGUUUUAAAUUAUAAUGAGAGAGAAUUAAGGAGAAACAAAAGCUUUGGGGUAGUGAGAAAAGGCUCUAGUUUCAUGAUUUCACGCCACAAAACCACACGUUAUCUCACUUCCUAUAUCUUUUUUAUGUAUUGGUUUGUGUACAUUUUGUCUCCUCUCUAAUUUCUCUUUCUCUCAGCCCUCUGAAUUCACCUUCUUCUCAUCACUUCUCACAACUCAAAACAAAACAAAACAAAAAACAUGGUUUGAAUAAUAACAGACAGCACUUUCUUCUUUUUUUUUUUUGGGAGUAAACGACACUUUAAAUCCAUAUAUCUAAGUUUAAGCAGCUGUUUCUUUUGGCCUUCACCAUGUGCACCAAUCUCUAGAAUAUCACUGCAUAUUACAAUACGCCAAAUUUCAUGCCACUUCUUCACCCACAACAACAACAACUUCCACCAUAUCAGUUUGUCUAUUUCCUGGCCCAGCCCAUUUGAAAGAGAGAGAGGAGAUUUCAGUUUGUUUUACUAUCUAUGCAUUCAUAUCUUUGGCAUAUUCUAUUCAAGAAAACCAAAAGGCAAGUCUAUUGGUUUCUUUCUUUUAACUUCCAGGAUUUAACUGACACAAGGAAAGACAAUAACGGCCUGCCUCUGAACUAAAUCUAUAUAUGCUUACAAGUGAAGAAGAAAAAUGGUGAUCUAGUUACUCAUCCAACGUUGAAAAGUUCAAAAUCAAAGUUUUCUUUCUGGGAUGAAGCGAGGAACACAGCUCCAGCGCCAGACCCACCAUGAGAAUGUUCCACUAUCACAUUGUCUGAGAGUUCAUUUCCAAGCAUUUCCCAUAUGCUGCUAUUGAGAUAGUUUCUAAACACCCUAUAAUGCUCGUAAAGCCCCCCUUCCACUGUGACUAUGUUUCUUUUGUUUUCUAUCCUCCCAAGCUUUUUAACGAUCCCCACAAUGCCAGCUCCAGCAAGACGGGCUGCACGCUCUGAUACGACGUCACAUACUUCAGCAACAAUUUCUCUUGCCAUUGGAGUUGAAUCAGUUACCUUGCAUUCAUAGAGAACACGUCAACCAGUGAGGAAGAGAGGUAUUAGCUAAUGCACGCCUUGAUAUAAAGUAGACACUAAUUUAGGUUGUAAUAGCACUCUUAUUGGAUAAAAAUCUGAAAGCACCUCAUCAACUCUACUAUAUUCUAAGGUCGGUCUAUAAUAUAACUGUCAGAAGUUCACUGUUAAAAGCUUGUUCACUGUUCAAAGCUUAAAAGAUUCUCACCCCAAAAAUUUCUUUAAGCUUUUCAUUGACCACCUCUCGAUCUUCUGAUGUAUCCUGAUGCAUUGCAGCCAUAUCAGGUGACCUGAAACAAAAUCAUUACGAGUCAAAUUGUCGACCGUGUUCACAAUGGUUUGGUAUUUGCUCCUUUCAAGAUGCAGUCAUCAUGUAAAUAUCAUAAAAAGGAUUUGGUCCACGUUCUCACAAAAAUAUGGCUACUCGAUUUCAGACUUAGGAUGGAAAUAAUAGUCUUGCUUCGCAUUGUUUUCCAAAAAUAUCACAUUUAACUAUUGUUGUGUUGGAAAUGCGGUAAAAGUCUCAUAUUGGCUAGAUAAGAAGAUGAUAAAUCAUGACUAACUCUGAUGGCAUGAAACUUUUUGGGUGAAACAAAAAACAAAGCCGUGGGAGUUAUGUCUAAAGUGGACAAUUAAAAACUGUUUGUGAAGAUAUUUCGAAGGUCGCUGUCCUGACAUAUUAUUUAACUAGUGUGUCAACGCAACUAAUAAUACCAAAACUGCAUGAAAAUAAAUGUAAAUACCUUAGCACAUAAGGGGUCAUAAGCUUUGAAGGAACAGGAUCCCCAAAUAAUAAUGUUUCCUGUGCCAUUUUUACCAGAAUUCUUCUCACAAUCUCUCCCAAGUAGGUUCCUGAUACCAACUUUUGGAAUACCUGAGAUAAUUUAAGAAUUAUUAGCCAAUCUACAGUAGCAUUCACUUUGAGUACGUGUGGGUAUGAUCAAUCUACAAUCUACAAUCUACCAUACCUGAGUACCGGGAUUUAAACUUUCAGAAUCUAGAGAAGUAUCAAACUCCGUUAUCGGAAGAUGUGGUGAACGAAAAUUGCCCCACUGCAUGCUGACCCCCUACAAUAUAAGAACAUAAUUAGACUGAUCAUCAAGUUGCAAUACCAUUUAAUUGGUUAAUCUUACUAACCACCUCCCUUGAGGUUGGUGAUGGUCCAUUCAAGUGAGCAAGUUCUUGUCCUGAUUCUAUAUAGGCGGCAUUGGUGCCCAUGCCUAAAGUUAUAGCAGCCACACUGUCCCUACAGUAGUAUCUACCUCCAGCUAAAUUCCCAACAGUAUCAUCAACCUGUGCUCGGAGAAACCAGAAAUAUCACAAAAAAGCUGGAAGCCUGGAACUAGAUUUGCCAUAAGGAACUUCGGUUAAAAUAUACAAAUCUAUACCAUUGCAGAGACCAGCAGGUUUACACCAUGGUUAGUCAAAGCCUGAUUGAUGUUAUUCACCAUAUUCUUUCCAACCUGAGUUCAUCAUUAUAUUAGGUUUCGGCCAAGAAAGAAUGUCCAUCAGAUGCCAUCAAAUAGAAUAUAAAAGUAGCAAAUUUUCUAUACCAUGUGAUAGAAAUCCAAAACAGUCAUUAGAAUAACAAAAGGAUUCCAAUCGUCAGCAUUUUGCUAAUUCUCAGUUAAAGUGAUCAAAAUUUUGACCAAAGAUCUUUGUUGUUCCGUGAGUAUACUUCAGUCAAUCUAAUUAAAAGGACGUGAGGAGGUUCAUAAUUUACUUUCCACUAUGCGAGAGACUGCAUAGGGAGGGGAACGAUCAUACUCAACUGUGUCAUCGGCAGAGAAACUAUUCCAUUUGAUUACAUUUCCCAAUGAGGCCGCAGCAUCAUCCACUGGAUAUGACAAUGUAAACCCCAGCUCUGUUCUCUUCACCGGUUCAUAUACAUUCUCUGGAUGAGCAGAAACAAAUUUCCCAACCUCCAUAGCAAUGAAGUCGAACAAAUCCUAUUUCCAACAAAAAUUCAAAUAAAACCUCGCCGAUCACAAUCCAAUGGAGAUAAAGGGUAGUAGUUCUCAAAUUCUAAUCCAUGAACCGGGAUACAAUCUAAAUCAUGAAAGAGUUCCAUAACUCAAAGUACAGAAAACAAACCUCAGAAUUGCCAUUCAUCACAUUGGGAGGAAUCGGGAUCUCCUCACGAUGAAUAUCAGAGAUGGGGGCAUUCUUUCCCCCAAGCCGAGCGCACAAAAUCAAGAAACUGGUUCCCCGCAAAUUAAGCCCAUAAUAGAACCCUUCCUCAUCUCUGUGACCCAAAUACAAACAUUAAAAAAAAAAAAAAAAAAAAACCAAAGCCGUAAGCAAUUCAAAUCUCACAAGACAAGGCCAGGAGGGAAAAAUGGAAUACCCAUUGGGGAAAGCGUUAGUGUAGGAGACGAGCAUUUUGAGAGAGGAAUUGGAAGUGGUCCCAUUAACAGAAGCAAUGGAGGCUCGCAUGUCGGACUCCAAAUCAGCGGCGAUCUGCCAGAGUUUGGGGACGGGGGUUGCAGAGUCUCGAGCAAACUUGCGGAGAAUUCGAUGUGCUUGCUUCAACUGCCAUUGUUUCCUUUGCUUCCAUCUCUUGAGGGCGGCGGCGGCGAGAAGAAGAGUGGCAGAAGCUGCCAAUGCGGCGAGGAGAAAUUGCUUGCGGAUGGACAUGGGUGAUGGGGUGUUGUUGAAGUGUUGGGAUUGUGAGAAGGGGAUAUAAGAUCAGAGAGUUGCAUUUUGGAGGUGAAGUUGAUGGUGUGUGUAUCAUCAUCUUGAUGGAUCAAAGAAAGAAAUAACAGAAAGCCAAUUAUGGAUGCAAAUCACCGAUCCCUAUGCCGUUGCCGCCUUCCCUUCUUCCCUUCUUCCCUUCUCUUUACUCUCACACGUCGCGCCACCGCUUAUGGUUUCUUUUUAUAUACAAAUACUCAUUAAACAAAUCUUCCUGUUUUUUAAUUACUUUCUUUUCCAUACUAUUUUGUUAACCUAUAAUUAAUCAAAUUAUAACCUUUAACAUUCUGUAAUCAUUUUUAUUUUAUCUUCUUUUAAAUUACUUUUUUUUAUCUGCUUUAUAUAACUCAAUCAUUUUUAUUUUAAUUUUUUUAAAUUUCAAACAAUGCAUUAUUACUUUCAUUUAUUUGUUUAGUUUAUAUUUUGGAUUUAAGUUGUUUUUUCGACGAUAUAAUUUCACAUUUAUCUCAUACAAACAUUAAAUAAUUAAUGAAUGUACUAAUAUAACAAACAUUCACCUCAAACGGGUGUAUCUUAUCUAAAAAAAUCACGUUCAAUCAACAUCAAAAUGUUUCAAUUUACUUGAGAUUUAAGUCGAUAAAAUGUAAUGAUGUAGGAGCAGAAGAAGCAUGUAAAUAUUCUUUCAUACAUACAUACCCCUUUUUAAUACAACGAUAGAGAUUUGUUUUCUUUUUCUUUUCAUUUUUGCACUAUUUAUUUAUUAUUUUUAAUAAAUAAAAUCCUCAUAAUUUUAAAUAAUGUAUGAUUUGUCUUUAUAAUUAAUAAAUUUAUAAAUAUUUUCAAUAAUUUUAUAAUUUUAAAAAUAAUUAUCUUUCCAAAUUUUUACCAAAUAACAAUUUACUUGUUAAAUUUUAAAACGUAUUUUAAAAUUUAUAAUAAUUCAAUCGAUGAUGUAUAUUUUAGUUAUUACAAAUUUAGAGUUACAAGUAUUAAAUUGUUAGGUAAUAAAAUCUAAAAACUAAAUUUAUUGUAUAUUUAAAAUUACGAGUAUCAAAUGGGCGCAGAUCAAAGUUUAAGAAUUGAGUUGAACUAACAUCUUUUUUUCAUAAGAUAUAUUUUUAAGUUUUAAGUUUGGUGGAUCAACACCGUCGGAAUAUUGAGAAUGCGAAGUAAAAUGAAGAACUUGCGAUGGGCAUUUGAAAGAGAGAUUUCAUACUUCGUCCCAUGCAAGCCCAAUUCCAUAUCAUUGGCCCAACCCCUUAUUCAUACCCUCCAAUAUCACAUUCAAUUUUCCAUCCAUAUGCUUAUAUAUUGGUUAGGAAAAUCAUGAAAAGGACAAAAGAUUUACAUUUUCAUAAAGUGUAAUGAUUUUUUCCCCCUCUUUUCUUAAUUAUUUUUAAGAACUAGUGGUUCCAUUAAAAAAAAUGGAAAUAAAAGGUCUAAGGCAUUAGAUGUCUAACAUUUGGAGGUUGGUGAAAGUCUUAGAACUCAUUUUUCAUUCACAAGUUUUUUAAAAGAAUUUUCUGGACAGAACAAACUAUUUUUGUUAUAAUAUAUGAUUUACCUCACAUUUAAUGUGAUGAGAGAGACACUUAAAAGUAUGAUAUUUGAAUAAAAGUUAAUAAAAACAAACACGUUAAUCAGGAGUUGUGCAUUUUUUACUUUGAAAUAGCAAUAGAAUGUUUAAAUUUUUAAUUUAGAUAUGUAAGCAAAACAAUGUAUAUAUUGUAUAUGUAAACAAAAAGUUGUAAGGUGAUAAGGACACCAUCACAAAAUAUUAUUUGUUGAAAGUAGUUUUUGCUAAAAGUUCAUCUUUUCAAACAAAUUUAUUGUUAUUAUUAUUAUUGUAUACACAACUUUUUUUUAUUACUUAAAAGGUGAUUUUCAACACUACUUCAUAUUGUUUAUUUGUUUUCUAAUAUAAUUGACGUUCUCUGUUUUCUUCCAUAUUCUAAUUUAACGAUUUACAUUAUUAAAAUAUUGAAAAUUUAUAACUUUUGAAAAGACACUAAAGUUAUUAAUUAUUCAAAUCAAAGAAAACAUUUUUUUUUUAAUUUAAUAUUUGUUAGAAAAAGGGUAUUAUUAUUUUGUUAUGUGGAAAGAAUAAUUUGGACGAUGAAAUGAUUAACACCCAUGAACAAUAUCUAGCUUAAAGUUUCCCUGUUUCAAUGUAACAAGCUUCUACUGUAAUAUGAUUUUAGUUAUAUUCAUUGAUGUACAGAAUAAAUCAACAAUAAAUAUGUAAUUUUGAAGAAGAAAAAAAAAGGUAUUCUCCUUCUUCUUCAAUUCAACGAACUGAAUCAAUACAUACAUAUUCAUAAAACAACUUGUACCAAUGGAUCGAAUGGGUUGUUCUCCUGAACCUAUAGUUUGAUCCUUGGUGGAUUGGGUUUAGUACUCUUCCAUCGCAAGAAUUGGGUGGGCAUGUGCCAAAUGGAAAUACAAGAAUGUAAGUGAGCAGCAGAGGUUGGUGAUAUUUAGUUUCCUUUGAAAAUAAUUUUUUUUGCAAUGUGAAAAAUGUUUUGGCAAUUUUUUACUUUAUUUAUUUACUUUUGUAACCUUUUAGAUUUGAACUUUGUAAAUAGUAAAAUUCUAAAUAAAAUUCGUCAAUGAGAAAAAGUUGAUAUUUUCAAUAAUGGUAUGGAAAUAGCUUAGCAUUUAUUUUGUAAUUAACUAACAAGAAGGUGUAAUUCAUUUAAAGAUUUAAAGAUAAUACCAAAUAAAUUUUCGGAGUAAAUUAGAAUCAAUAUAAAAUAUUAGAAAAUAAUUUCAUAUAAAUGAAACUUAUUCAAACACAUAAGGAUAAUAUUAAAAAAAUGAGUAGAAAAUACUUGUAGUUGAAAAGAUGUGACCCUAUACAGCUAGCAGACAAAUAAUGGAUAUACAUAGAAAGGUAUAUAAUAAUAUAUGUAGACAAUAAUAGGUUCAAUUUCUAAGCCAACAUGGUGGCUAAUAAAUUUGUUUAACAUAAAAGUAUGUAUAAAAGUGGUGACCUACUGAUCACCUUAGCUAAUUGGAAUAUAUCAAAGAUCACAUAAUCUUUGGAUGGGACACUGCCCCUUUUCUUGCUUUUCUAAUUAUCCUCUCACUUAAACAAUACAUCAACAUUCAUUUUUAGCAAAUAAAAACGUCAGCAUUAACUUAUAUUUCUUAAUUUAAUGUACUACUUACAGCGUUUUUAUAUUUAAAUAUUUAGGUAAUUUCAAGUUCAACAACAAUAGUUAGAGAUAUGGGAUAUCAAACUCUUCCUCUAUGGUAAUUAAAUAAUGUAGGUAGCUAGGAGUGACUAAUAUACAAGCUAGCUAAAUGUGAAAGCAUGCCAAUUUUAAGUAAACAAAAAACUAUCAUAAUUAAUCACUAAAUUUUUCACAAAAAAUUAAACCAAACUUGUUCUCUUUUAGACAUCAUAGUAUUAUUAAUUAAAGUUGGUAUUCUAGCUAAAUUGACACACCCUUACCAUCUAUUUUUCUCUCUACUCUUGCCUUUUUAGAAAUGAAAUCAGUGUAUAAGUGAUGAAAAAUAUAAUUUAGCCAACUAUUACUUUAUUUUGUGUCCAGCCUGGCAUUAUUAGGUUAAGGUAAUAUAUUCUUAAAAAUCUAUAUAUGUUUUUUCUAGUUCAUAUAGUCUGAAUAUGAUUAUAUAAAGCUUAAUGGUAUUAGAUAUGUAUUUUGCCCUCUAUGUUUCCCAACUGCAACAUUCAUUUCAGCACGAAUCAUAUGUCUCCCCAUUCAUAUGCCCAUACUCAUCUUUAAUUAUAUAUUUUCUCCAUUUCUUUGAAUUGAAAGAAAAAGAGAAAAAUAAUCAGUAGAUAAGAUGUCACAUCUCAAAGAAAUUACAAAACCAAGAACAACACACAGUACACGUAUCAAUAUAUUAAUCUUUAUUACAAUUUAGAGGUGGAAUACAUAAAUAGAUAAAUAAGGAAAUGUGUUAAAAGGAGAGAAUUUAACUAUUAUUAGAACAUAAAAACCCGAGUUUCUUCUACCUUACAAAAACCAAAUCUAAAGGCUAAAAAAAACCCUAGCUAGCUAGCAAGAGAAAAAGAAAACAGCCUGAGUUUAAAAAAAAAAGAAGAAAACCCCAUUUUUAACAGAGGUAAAAAUAUAUAUAUAGCAGAAAGAGGUGAGACAAAGAAAAGUCAAAAGCUCUCUCUCAAAAAAAUAAUGUAAAAAAGAUUUUUACCUCUCGGAAAUGGGUUGUUUUUCUUUAUUACAUAAUUACAAUUUACACGCUUUUCUUAAUUUUCUUGAAAAAAGAUGAAUCAAAUAUAAUGUUACUUCUUUGUUUUUUUUAACAAAGAAAAAAGAAAGAAAAAAAAGGUGUUUGCUGCCUUUGGUAAAGUUUCAGUUGAAGUCUAGCAAAGCCUGUCUCAGAUUCUUUACAACAUCUUCCACUGUCAUAUGAAAACCAACAUCCAUCUGCCAUUAUUAAACAAAUAAACAACAUUGUUAUUCUCUCCUCACAAACAAAUCAGAUAAAUUAUCAAGUAAAUAGAACAUUAUUAACCAAAAUUCAGAAACCAUUAUCAAAUUAUUGUUAGGAUAUGUAAAUAUGAGAUUACAGACUAGACUUCUCGUAUCAAAAUUGAUUAUAAGGAGAUGAACAAAUUAGGUGCAUUUUAAAGAUUUUGAGAUCUACUAGUCUUUUCUAAUACUGACUCUAAGGUUGUGGCUCUUUUGAUUCACUAUUUUUAUUAGAUUCUUUUCUUUAUUUGAAUACAUGUUUGGAGGUCAUGGUAUUUGAUACCAUGUUAGACAAACACAAAGUUGCAUCUUAUCUUAAAACCAAAUGAGCAAAGUAAGAAAAAAAACUAAUAUAUUUUAUAUAGUUUAUGAUCAAAUCUUUUCACCGUUUUGAUGUAGGAUUCCCAACUGAUAGAUUGCAGUAAAUUUAAUUGUAUUAAUACUUAACAUUAAUAACAUCAAAAUAAAAAAUAAAAAUAUUAUCUAAGUCUACGAGAAGCUUAAAAUUUAAAUUUAGUCUUUUGGUUUCAUAACAUCUCAUAAAUUGUUCAUAUAAAUAGUUUCGAACUAAAUUCAACUUUCUGUAAACCUUAGAUAUCGGAGUCUCGGACCAAAGUAUGCAAUAAUUAACCAGAUAAAGAGAGCUUUAAAGUUAAUAAUUAUACCUGAGCAACAAUCGUAAUAUCGAGGUUGGAGUGGGAGAAUGGCAAAGCACUAGUGUUGAGGAUUGUGAGAUUAUUAAAGCUCUGGAUUUUGUUGAGCAAAUAAGAGAGACAGCCUUUGCGUUUGUGGCAGUGAAUUCUGAUGAGAACAUCAUUGUUUACGAAUCUUACUUCUAUCUCAGGAGUACUUCUUAGUCUGCCGGAAAAACUGUUCUCGUCCGAUGAUGAGGUGUCAUCGUCGGAUGAGGAAGGCUGCAGGGUGGUUCUCUUCACACACACCACUGGCGAUUGUGGCUUCGAAGUUUUGGAAGUAGUUUGUUCCUCCACCACUUUCAAACGCUCUUGAAGCUCUUUUACAUGUCUUAUGGCUCCUCCCAAUAUCGAAGCUUUGUCUGCCUGCCAACACACAAAUCAAAUAAAUUUUAGGUCUCUUUGAUGACCAUUUUAUCUUUAAUUAGUUUUAUGUUUUUCAAAUUUAUAUGCAUAUUUUCUUCUAAAUUCUAACCUUUUUUUUUUUUAUGAAGAAAAUAAAUAAAUAAAAUUCUUGGUCAGAUUAUUAAAAAAAACCCUAAAAAAAUCUCAUUUAGGUUACACAUUCUUAGCAUUUUUAUCAUACCCCAACCCCAGACCAAAUUAAUAUAUUGCCAAUAAAAUACAAAAAGAGUUAAACCAAUUUAAAGAAACAGAAGAAACAUCAUAAUAGCAUAAUAGAGCAUUUUCUUUAGACCAGAAAGCCACAAGAGUAAAUGACCUAAACCAUUUCAUUUCAAAUUUUUUUCUAAUAAAUUCUUAAACUUGGUAGUAUAAUAUACAUUUGAAAAUAAGAAAUCUGUGAGAUAUAGCAGAUAUCAGCUACUACACAAUUUCACAGUUUUUGAGUGUCAAUUUUUGAAAAAAUAAGAAGAAACUGCAAGUAGACCCCUUUAAACUUUUUCUUUCUAAUUUGACCAUCAUAACAUUCAAAAUUAAAAUACACGAACUUAUAUAAAAAGUUAGAAUGAAAAAUAAGUAAUGAACUAAAGUGUAGUUAGUACACAAUACCUUGUUAAGGUCAGGGAUUAGAGCUGAAAGAGCAAUGAAUCUUUGGCUAAGCUUCUCCCUACGCUUUCUCUCAGCUAUCACAUGUUCUCUACCAUUCAUUGAACAACUUCUCUUCCCAUUAGUACAAUUCCAAUUUUUUACUGAUUCAUAAUUCCAAUUAUUCUCAAAGCUAAUUAUUUGCGAAGAUGAUAACGACGAAUCACCCUUAUGAUUAUUUCCAACAAAUGUGGUCUUACAUUUGUUUAUCCCCCCGCCCCCCGCCUCCACGUCCUCCUCCACCUUAACCCGCUUGGCCGGCCUUUCCUCCACCGCAUACGGCAGAACCGGCAAGUCAUACAAGUCAUCAAAUUGCAACGCAUCUAACGGAAACUCAAAUGGGUCUAUAUGAAAUUCAUCCAUAAACGGUGAAGCAUCUUCAAUUUCCUAAAAAGAAAAUAAGGAAAUAAAUAUACAUUUAUAGAAAAUUUUAAUUAACGAAUGAAAGAUUUAAUAAUGAAAAAUACCCAAUCAGAUAUCCAUUUCAGUGAUGAGAUCUCCAUUUAGAACUCAAUGGAAAAGAAAAAUAAAGUUAGAAAAAGGAAUUGGAUAGUUAUUUAUUGAUGAUUUGUGAGAAAGAGGGAAAAGGUGAAAGGGUUUUAUAGAAAUAAGAGAGACACGGUUUAUUGGGAAUAAUGAGGCACGUGUGAAAGAGUGGUAGAGUCAGCUUUCGGGUUCGUAUUUGGUCAAUGGAUUUCCGAAUUCUCUCACGUUUUGCCUCUUUCUUAAAACAAAUUUUAUUUAAUAACUUCAGGUCCUCUUUUCGCAGUCCAACUCCUUUAACUUUUUCUAAUUUCUAUUAUAACCCCAGAUAACACAUCAAAUUAAAUCACACGUAGACUCAUCCAAUAUUCAAAUUUGUGACCUUAUUUUAAAAAUAGGGGUGGUUUUGAAAAUUUGGCUUUAUUAUUCAAAAGACGCAUUCUUCAUCACAAGAAGACAAAAAAAAGUUUAGGCACAUUUUGUUGAUUGGUCACGAAUUUUGUCUCACUUGACACGUUGUAACCAGUCAUAAUAAUGAUUGCCAAUUCUCUCCAUUUGACCUUAUUUGAUUUAUCAAUCAAAAUUAUCUUUUAUAUCAAAUCAUCUCAUUAUCAACUCACCUUCACACUUCACACAAUUCUCUCAUAUAUUUUUCUCCAAUCCUUUCCUCCUUUCCUCCUUCCUCUCUGUUGUAAUUGGUCAAACUACAUUAGACGUUCUGGGAUUUUCAAUGACCCAUCUAUGAUUGAGAAUAUUAUCCCUCAAAUUAAUUUUUUUUAUAUAUAUAAAAAUGUUGAUGAAAAUUAAGAUGAGAAAAAGGCAGUAUUUCAUUCCUCAAUUUCUUCAUUUUUUUCCCUUUUAAUUUUCCCCAUUUUUUACUUGUAUCAUAAUGUUCUCACCUACCAAUGUGAACAAUUUUGUGGUGAGUUGUUUAGAAAUUUUACUUUGUGUUAUAGAGGAAAUAUGCUUUGAUUUACCCCAAAAGCCCUCCUCAAUUUCAAAACUCCCCUUUUGAAAAUUAAUCAGAAGCUAUAAAAAAAAAAGUGAAGGAUAACAAUAUAUUUAUUAAGAUUUAACUCUAUUAUUUUCUUUACUUCCUAUCAACUUUGUAGGAAAAUUUAUAUGGCAUUUUACUUUACCUUAUAAAUAUUUUCAACAUUUACAACAUUUUUCAAAUAAUAUCAAUAAUUUUUCGUUAAUGAUUUUUUAAAAAAGUAAAAGAUAAAAAGAAAACCCUAAAAGCUUGAAGAAUAAUUAUGACAAAAGGUGAACAAUAGAUGGAUAUCCAAUUGUCUCAUAUUGAUAUGGACACAAUGGAUUGUGUCUUUAAUAAAAAAAAUUUGUCGUAGAUAUUUAUACUAUGUUAAAAGUUGAGUGUUAUGUAUUUUCAGGUUCGUAGCUAAUAUGCACUUAAUUUUUAUUUUUAUUUUCUCUCUAACAUAGAAACUAAGGUAGUAGGUUAUAUAAUUAACCCAAUAAUAUAUAUAAUAAUAGUAAUUAAUGUGAAUGUAAUUCAUGGAUGGAAACAAGAAUAAUAAUAAAGUUAAAAAAAUGGAAAUAUCACAUGCCUUUGCUUUGCAUUGAUUAGUUUAUGUUUGGGAUAAGCGGCACGUGGGAAACAGGAACUUGAGAGGAAGGUGGUGCAAACUGCGGAGUGUUGAGAGUCCCUUACCCUGAGACUAAAGGAAUGCGCGGCUCCAUUCAGCUUCCUCCAAAUUCUCCCCAUACCCUAAAAUUAAUUGACCUGCGACCUUACCAAUCACAUCACCCCACGUAAGCCCACACCCCACACCCCACUCCAUACUCACUCAAUUAUUUGCAUCAUCAUUUUUUUAAUCAUACCCAUUUCACAAAAUAUACAUUAUAUUUAAACCAUCUCAUUUUUAUAUAUUACAUCUCAACACUUUACACUUAUUAUUUAAAUAUUUUUCUCUAACAUAAAGUAGAGCCAACUAAAUGUAAAAAA